Molecule: ribosomal RNA, 497 nt
Filed under: uncultured bacterium
Lineage: Bacteria
Description: partial 16S ribosomal RNA
Rfam family: Bacterial small subunit ribosomal RNA
Source: RNAcentral
GAUGAACGCUGGCGGCGUGCCUAAUACAUGCAAGUCGAGCGAACAGAUAAGGAGCUUGCUCCUUUGACGUUAGCGGCGGACGGGUGAGUAACACGUGGAUAACCUACCUAUAAGACUGGGAUAACUUCGGGAAACCGGAGCUAAUACCGGAUAACAUAUUUAACCGCAUGGUUCAAUAGUGAAAGGCGGCUUUGCUGUCACUUAUAGAUGGAUCCGCGCCGUAUUAGCUAGUUGGUAAGGUAACGGCUUACCAAGGCAACGAUACGUAGCCGACCUGAGAGGGUGAUCGGCCACACUGGAACUGAGACACGGUCCAGACUCCUACGGGAGGCAGCAGUAGGGAAUCUUCCGCAAUGGGCGAAAGCCUGACGGAGCAACGCCGCGUGAGUGAUGAAGGUCUUCGGAUCGUAAAACUCUGUUAUCAGGGAAGAACAAAUGUGUAAGUAACUGUGCACAUCUUGACGGUACCUGAUCAGAAAGCCACGGCUAACUACGUG